CCUUAUCGUACGGGAGGCAGCAGUGAGGAAUAUAGGGCAAGAAUCGCAAGCCUGAACCAGCCAUGCCGUGAACAGGAUGACGGUCCUAUGGAUUGUAAACUGCUUGGGGGAGGGAAGAAACACUUAAUACGCGUAGAGGCUGACGUACCGCAG
This 153-nucleotide ribosomal RNA is filed under the name Flavobacterium sp. NA152. RNAcentral describes it as "partial 16S ribosomal RNA". Lineage: Bacteria; Pseudomonadati; Bacteroidota; Flavobacteriia; Flavobacteriales; Flavobacteriaceae. The record is from RNAcentral.